AUGUUCUUUCUAAGUUCUUUAGUUGAUUUGAAGAGUUUGGCAGUAGGAUACUGGUGGAUUGCAACAAGUGACUUUCAAACUUCAGUUUGCAGAGUCCACUCUUUUUGUUGAGGUUUCACGAGGUGCAUAAGGCUCAUAGAUAAAUCCUGGACUUGUCAUGGAAACUCUAAGAGCUCCCUGCAUAUAUCAUAAGGACAGCUUAUCAAAGAAGAGAAGAUGGUGAUCAGUUUACCUGCUUUGACAGAAACUCAAGUGUAAGCUGUAUAAGCACCUUUUCGAGAUCUUUUGGAUCACCACCAAUAUGUAAUGAGGAGAGAAGGGAUAAGGCAAAUGAGUACCAAGUUUGAUUCAUGGGUCUAGCUAGUAGCUAGGAAUAAUGCUUUUGAUUCAUGUGUAGGUAGUAGCUAGGAAGGC
This 414-nucleotide long non-coding RNA is filed under the name Rosa chinensis. RNAcentral's name for it is "sRNA RchiOBHm_Chr2g0139411". The record is from RNAcentral. Lineage: Eukaryota; Viridiplantae; Streptophyta; Magnoliopsida; Rosales; Rosaceae.